UUUUUUUUUUUUAAAUAUAUAUUCCACAUUCACCCUUUUGGUUUGAAAGUCAUUGAAUAACUAUAACCUCCAAAAGUUCUUCUAUAUUACAUUAUCACCAAAGCAUGAUGCCCACUAAAGAGUUGGACAAUACUGUUAUGAUCUUGUAAAACAAUACCACAAUAAUUAGGCUGGAUACAGAGAACAAACUAACUCCAGAUUUCUAUGCAUAGGAGGGCGAAAUAAAGGUGGAACCUGGGUGUAUAUUAGCAGUAAAGAGCAAGGACUCUGAGCUAUGACCCAUUGUCAAUGGAUUAAAACAGAGGAGGAUUGGACACACUCAUUACUUAUGUAGCCUUGGCAUAAAUGCAAAGAAGCUUACACUCCAAAUCACAUUUUGUUGUGACUGACAAAGCAAUUCUCCCACCUUUAGUGGGCACUCUGAAAUGUCCUUCAAAAAACAAAAAAGCUAAUAGAAAUUGACAGAAUGUUUCUAAUCUACUGCUAAAUUGCUAGAACAUUUUACACCUGAGUUUACAAUAGAAACACAUUCUAUUUUACCCUGUUUAAAAGUCGCAAAGAUUUGGAGAGAUGUUAGGAGUUUGAAUGCAUGACUUUCAUAAUACAGCCCGAGCCAUGCUGAGAGCUAGGUUACAGCAAGAUCACAAUUUAGCCACUGGAUUAUCACCUCAUUAGCAUCAAUGUAGCACAAAAUCGUGUGAUGGCAGACAAAUCAGUUUGAUAAACAAAAAUGAAAUUCCAAGAAAAUCCAUAGAAUCAGAUAUUUUGGAGAUAAAGGAACAGUCUUGUGGCUGUAAAAUGGCAUCAUUUUUUAGUAAAAGUGUUUUAAGAGCUUUUCCUUUGAUAAAUAUAGUGCUUUUUAAUGAUAGGAUUCCAGGAAGCUGCCAUGAUUGGCAAAAUAAUACUUAUCCUUGCAAUUUAAGAACGUAUACAUAAAAACAGCUAACGUCUAUGUGCCUCUUUUAAUUAGGUAGUAGGCAGCAUCUUUCAAUGAACCACAUUUAGUAAACAAAAACAAGAUGUAUGGAUACACACUUGAGUAUGUCCACUCCAACCUGCAAACACUGCAUUAUAGAAGAAAUCCAACAACAGGUCAUCUGCUGUGCCAUAACCUAUGAGUAUCACGAAAGGUUCUUGCAGCAGCAAGGAUUCAAUAACUUUGGGAUGUCGUACACAAUUAAGCAACAGAGCUGCAACAAUUCCU
Non-coding RNA from Pelobates cultripes (western spadefoot toad), 1204 nucleotides. The record is from the annotation of a GenBank genome assembly. Lineage: Eukaryota; Metazoa; Chordata; Amphibia; Anura; Pelobatidae.